UCCUUUCUAAGAGCUGAUGGGGUGGAAUCAGUCAGUUGAGCUUCCUUUAUUCUCUAAAUCAGUUCCAGUUGGACGUUUAGAUUGGUCAGACAUGUAACCCUCUUCUAGUCCUGAAGCCGCAUUUGCUGUGCAGCCCCUAUUACCCUACAUUUAGAAAUCAUUAGGUGAGCCAACAUACCUGAACUUUUUCUACUGAGUGCAUUGACUACUAAAUUGCCCUUGCCUUGGUGAUACAGGAUCUUACAAUCAUAGUCUUUGAUGAGCUCUAUCUAACACCUCUAAUGCAUGUUGAGAUCCUUUUGAGUAAAUAUAUGCUUCAAGCUCUUAUAGUCUAUGUAAAUAUCCCGGAAGUAUUAGGAUGU
Molecule: long non-coding RNA, 362 nt
Filed under: Carica papaya (papaya)
Lineage: Eukaryota; Viridiplantae; Streptophyta; Magnoliopsida; Brassicales; Caricaceae
Description: long non-coding RNA (CPAP_LNC000349)
Source: RNAcentral